This 467-nucleotide ribosomal RNA is filed under the name uncultured bacterium. RNAcentral's name for it is "partial 16S ribosomal RNA". It matches the Rfam family "Bacterial small subunit ribosomal RNA", at positions 28 to 507 of the family's 1533-position model. The record is from RNAcentral.
GACGAACGCUGGCGGCGUGCUUAACACAUGCAAGUCGAACGGAAAGGCCUCUUUCGGGGGGUACUCGAGUGGCGAACGGGUGAGUAACACGUGAGUAACCUGCCCUUGUCUUUGGGAUAACUUCAGGAAACUGGGGCUAAUACCGGAUAGGAGCUCCUGCUGCAUGGUGGGGGUUGGAAAGUUUUGGCGGUUGGGGAUGGACUCGCGGCUUAUCAGCUUGGUGGUGGGGUAGUGGCUUACCAAGGCUUUGACGGGUAGCCGGCCUGAGAGGGUGACCGGCCACAGUGGGACUGAGAUACGGCCCAGACUCCUACGGGAGGCAGCAGUGGGGAAUAUUGCACAAUGGGUGGAAGCCAGAUGCAGCAACGCCGUGUGCGGGAGGACGACCAUUGGGUUGUAAACCGCUUUCGCUCAUGACGAAGCUUUGUGUGACGGUAGUGGGUAAAGAAGCACCGGCUAACUACGUG